Non-coding RNA from Python bivittatus (Burmese python), 426 nucleotides. Lineage: Eukaryota; Metazoa; Chordata; Lepidosauria; Squamata; Pythonidae. The record is from the annotation of a RefSeq genome assembly.
AUGUGCUACAGAGCUGCCAAUGUGGUCUCUUUAUUAGCAGUUCUUGGAGGUGUCCAAUCUGAAAUCCAGCUGGUGGAGUCUGGAGGGGAUGUCAGAGGCCCUGGUGAUUUCCUCCGUCUCUCCUGCCAGGGCUCUGGAUUCACUUUCAGCAGCAAUUGGAUGAACUGGGUGAGACAGUAUCCAGGGAAAGGAGCGGAAUGGGUUGAAGAGAUAAAAUAUGAUUCAAGUACUAUUCGCUACUUGGAUAAAGUGAAAGGACGUUUCACCAUCUCCCGAGACAAUUCCAAAAGCCAACUCUAUUUGGAAAUGAACAACUGGAAGCCAGAGGACACGGGAGUCUAUUACUGUGUGAGAGACACAGUGAGAGGAAGUGAAUCUGGAUCCAAGCAAGAACCUUCUCUUCCUAUGAGCCGCUCUCCAAGUUGA